Molecule: ribosomal RNA, 806 nt
Filed under: uncultured bacterium
Lineage: Bacteria
Description: bacterial SSU rRNA
Rfam family: Bacterial small subunit ribosomal RNA
Source: RNAcentral
AGAGUUUGAUCAUGGCUCAGAAUCAACGCUGGCGGCGUGCCUGACACAUGCAAGUCGAACGCGGUUACCUCGCAAGGGGUAACUGAGUGGCGAACGGGUGAGUAACACGUGGGUGACCUACCUUCGAGCGGGGGAUAACGUCCCGAAAGGGACGCUAAUACCGCAUAACAUCCUGCCUUUGAACAGGUGGAGAUCAAAGCUGGGGAUCGCAAGACCCGGCACUUGAAGAGGGGCCCGCGUCUGAUUAGCUAGUUGGUGAGGUAACGGCUCACCAAGGCGACGAUCAGUAUCCGGCUUGAGAGGGCGGACGGACACACUGGGACUGAGACACGGCCCAGACUCCUACGGGAGGCAGCAGUGGGGAAUUGUUCACAAUGGGCGCAAGCCUGAUGACGCAACGCCGCGUGGAGGAUGAAGGUCUUCGGAUCGUAAACUCCUGUUGCUCGGGACGAAAAGCUCCGACCUAACACGUCGGAGUCUGACGGUACCGGGUGAGGAAGCCCCGGCUAACUCUGUGCCAGCAGCCGCGGUAAUACAGAGGGGGCAAGCGUUGUUCGGAAUUACUGGGCGUAAAGGGCGCGUAGGCGGCCUGUUAAGUCGAACGUGAAAUCCCCGGGCUCAACCCGGGAACUGCGUCCGAUACUGGCAGGCUUGAAUCCGGGAGAGGGAUGUGGAAUUCCAGGUGUAGCGGUGAAAUGCGUAGAUAUCUGGAGGAACACCGGUGGCGAAGGCGGCAUCCUGGACCGGUAUUGACGCUGAGGCGCGAAAGCCAGGGGAGCAAACGGGAUUAGAUACCCCGGUAGUCC